This 253-nucleotide ribosomal RNA is filed under the name uncultured bacterium. RNAcentral describes it as "partial 16S ribosomal RNA". It matches the Rfam family "Bacterial small subunit ribosomal RNA", at positions 524 to 776 of the family's 1533-position model. The record is from RNAcentral.
UACGGAGGGUCCAAGCGUUAUCCGGAAUCAUUGGGUUUAAAGGGUCCGUAGGCGGUUUUGUAAGUCAGUGGUGAAAGCCCAUCGCUCAACGGUGGAACGGCCAUUGAUACUGCAAGACUUGAAUUAUUAGGAAGUAACUAGAAUAUGUAGUGUAGCGGUGAAAUGCUUAGAUAUUACAUGGAAUACCAAUUGCGAAGGCAGGUUACUACUAAUGGAUUGACGCCGAUGGACGAAAGCGUGGGGAGCGAACAGG